AGUGGCGGACGGGUGAGUAACGCGUGAGAAUCUGCCUUCAGGUCGGGGACAACAGAGGGAAACUUCUGCUAAUCCCGGAUGAGCCUUAGGGUAAAAAAUUUAUUGCCUGGAGAUGAGCUCGCGUCUGAUUACCUAGUUGGUAAGGUAAAAGCUUACCAAGGCAACGAUCAGUAGCUGGUCUGAGAGGAUGAGCAGCCACACUGGGACUGAGACACGGCCCAGACUCCUACGGGAGGCAGCAGUGGGGAAUUUUCCGCAAUGGGCGAAAGCCUGACGGAGCAAGACCGCGUGGGGGAGGAAGGCUCUAGGGUUGUAAACCCCUUUUCUUUGGGAAGAACAAAAUGACGGUACCAAAGGAAUCAGCCUCGGCUAACUCCGUGCCAGCAGCCGCGGUAAUACGGAGGAGGCAAGCGUUAUCCGGAAUGAUUGGGCGUAAAGCGUCCGCAGGUGGCAAUGUAAGUCUGCUGUCAAAACCCAGGGCUCAACUCUGGUCAGGCAGUGGAAACUACAUAGCUAGAGUUCGGUAGGGGCAAAGGGAAUUCCCGGUGUAGCGGUGAAAUGCGUAGAGAUCGGGAAGAACAUCGGUGGCGAAAGCGCUUUGCUAGACCGAAACUGACACUCAGGGACGAAAGCUAGGGGAGCGAAUGGGAUUAGAUACCCC
Molecule: ribosomal RNA, 661 nt
Filed under: uncultured bacterium
Lineage: Bacteria
Description: bacterial SSU rRNA
Rfam family: Bacterial small subunit ribosomal RNA
Source: RNAcentral